RNAcentral lists this ribosomal RNA (291 nucleotides) under uncultured bacterium. RNAcentral describes it as "partial 16S ribosomal RNA". It matches the Rfam family "Bacterial small subunit ribosomal RNA", at positions 773 to 1060 of the family's 1533-position model. The record is from RNAcentral.
GUGGAUUAGAUACCCCGGUAGUCCACGCCGUAAACGAUGUUCACUAGGUGUUGGGGGUAUUGACCCUCUCAGUGCCGGAGCUAACGCAUUAAGUGAACCGCCUGGGGAGUACGGUCGCAAGACUAAAACUCAAAGGAAUUGACGGGGGCCCGCACAAGCGGUGGAGCAUGUGGUUUAAUUCGAUGCAACGCGAAGAACCUUACCUGGACUUGACAUCCCGGGAAUCUCCUGGAAACAGGAGAGUGCCUUUCGGGGAACCCGGAGACAGGUGCUGCACGGCUGUCGACAACU